UGCUGCUGUCCAAUAUUGUUUUAGUGCAAAUUGUUUAUUACCAAUUUUCCCUUAAGCUUUAAUAAAUAACAAUUUCGUCCCUACUCAAUUAGCCUCUCAAUUGAGCUGAUUUUUCUUAAUUAACACUUUAUUCUAUCACUUUAAACUACUUUACAACUUUUGGAAAUCAUAAUUUCAGCACUAGACUUUAAUUCCAACAUUUUCACAAUUCUGUCCUAAAAUCAAUUUCCAUUAAUUUUACUAAUUUAAUUCAUACUCUAUUUCUAUUCAAGUUCCAUCCCAACUCAAAUUUAACUACUAAAUUUUCAGCUUAUUUAACUAGUUUCAAAAUUUCCUCAAAUUAGCCCUUCAACAUAAAACUUAUGAAUUACUUUACAAUUCAAUCCUUAUUUCAUUUCUAACUUGAAUUUCUAUCAAUUUAACCCUUAUUUUAUCAUUUUACUCAACAUGAACAGUAUCUAAAAAUCUAAUAUCUUUCAAAAUAUCAACUUAAUUUCAUCAAAAUCAUGUCCAAAGCUUCUAAAAUAUCAAAAUUAAGUAAAAAGGGCUCAAUUGACUUACCUAUUAAACUUCCAAACUUCAGACCUUUGAUUUUCCCUUUUCUUCUUUCUUUCCUUCCCCUGCUUUCUGUUUUGUUUGCUUUGUUUCUUUAUUUCUCUCCUUUUUUUUCUUUUUUCUUUUUUUUAUAUAUACACACAUGUAUUUAUACUUGAAUAAUAAGUAUUAUUUAUUUAUUCAUGUGUAUAUUAUUAGUACAUUUGUAUCCAUUUAUAACCAUACAUUUGUCAUUAUUUAAUAUAUUUAUCAUAUAAAAUCUUAUAAUAUAAUUAUUUAAUUAAUAAAUAUCUAUUUAAUAUCUAAUACAUGUAUUACAAAUGUAUGUAUUUUUAUCCAUACACUUGUAUAUUUUAUUUACUAUACAUUUGUCUUUAUAUUAAUUUGUUUAUCAUAUAAAUAUCUUAUAAUAUAAUUAUAAUAAAUUAAUUUAAUAUCAUUUAUUACUAAUAUAUAUAUUAAUUAAAAUCUAAGUAAAAAUCUUAGAUUUUUAUUUUAUAUGCGGCCUCACUUAUGCUAAAUGGCAUAAUUGCCAUUUUGGUCCUUCUUAUUUUCUUUUAAUCUAUAAUUAAAUUUUCACAUUUUAUUCAAUUUAAUCCUUUUAUCUAAUUAUCCUUAAUUAAGCUAAAUUCACUUAAUUAAACUCUAAUUAACCACUCUGAACUUUUUAAAUAUUUUUUAUAAAUAUUUACGGACACUUUUUUUUUUUUAGUAACGAAGACCCGAAAAUACACUUUUUUGAUAACCGCAAAAUUCGGAUUAUUACAG
This 1323-nucleotide long non-coding RNA is filed under the name Gossypium barbadense (sea-island cotton). Its description in RNAcentral is "long non-coding RNA (GBAR_LNC005082)". The record is from RNAcentral. Lineage: Eukaryota; Viridiplantae; Streptophyta; Magnoliopsida; Malvales; Malvaceae.